GCACCCGUAGCUCAACGGAUAGAGCAUCUGACUACGGAUCAGAAGGUUAGGGGUUCGAAUCCCUUCGGGUGCA
Actinokineospora spheciospongiae is the source of this 73-nucleotide transfer RNA. It matches the Rfam family "tRNA". From Rfam's summary of the family: Transfer RNA (tRNA) molecules are approximately 80 nucleotides in length. Their secondary structure includes four short double-helical elements and three loops (D, anti-codon, and T loops). Further hydrogen bonds mediate the characteristic L-shaped molecular structure. tRNAs have two regions of fundamental functional importance: the anti-codon, which is responsible for specific mRNA codon recognition, and the 3' end, to which the tRNAs corresponding amino acid is attached (by aminoacyl-tRNA synthetases). tRNAs cope with the degeneracy of the genetic code in two manners: having more than one tRNA (with a specific anti-codon) for a particular amino acid; and 'wobble' base-pairing, i.e. permitting non-standard base-pairing at the 3rd anti-codon position. NCBI's taxonomy places the organism in Bacteria, Bacillati, Actinomycetota, Actinomycetes, Pseudonocardiales, Pseudonocardiaceae. The record is from Rfam.